This 74-nucleotide transfer RNA is filed under the name Thermoleophilia bacterium. Its description in RNAcentral is "tRNA-Gly". It matches the Rfam family "tRNA". Rfam says of the family: Transfer RNA (tRNA) molecules are approximately 80 nucleotides in length. Their secondary structure includes four short double-helical elements and three loops (D, anti-codon, and T loops). Further hydrogen bonds mediate the characteristic L-shaped molecular structure. tRNAs have two regions of fundamental functional importance: the anti-codon, which is responsible for specific mRNA codon recognition, and the 3' end, to which the tRNAs corresponding amino acid is attached (by aminoacyl-tRNA synthetases). tRNAs cope with the degeneracy of the genetic code in two manners: having more than one tRNA (with a specific anti-codon) for a particular amino acid; and 'wobble' base-pairing, i.e. permitting non-standard base-pairing at the 3rd anti-codon position. The record is from RNAcentral. Lineage: Bacteria; Bacillati; Actinomycetota; Thermoleophilia.
GCGGGUGUAGCUCAGUUGGCUAGAGCGUCUGCUUGCCAUGCAGAAGGUCGACGGUUCGAGUCCGUUCACCCGCU